RNAcentral lists this ribosomal RNA (2688 nucleotides) under Salmonella enterica subsp. enterica serovar Typhimurium. RNAcentral's name for it is "partial 23S ribosomal RNA". It matches the Rfam family "Bacterial large subunit ribosomal RNA", at positions 422 to 2903 of the family's 2925-position model. Lineage: Bacteria; Pseudomonadati; Pseudomonadota; Gammaproteobacteria; Enterobacterales; Enterobacteriaceae. The record is from RNAcentral.
ACACGUGGUAUCCUGUCUGAAUAUGGGGGGACCAUCCUCCAAGGCUAAAUACUCCUGACUGACCGAUAGUGAACCAGUACCGUGAGGGAAAGGCGAAAAGAACCCCGGCGAGGGGAGUGAAAAAGAACCUGAAACCGUGUACGUACAAGCAGUGGGAGCCCCACCACUAAGCCAGUGGUGAACUCCACAUCCGCAUCCUUUGCUGAGGAUACGGUUAACGGAGCGAAAGCGACGUUCAACCGCAAAACAAGCAGAGGGGGCUUAGUGGUGGGGUGACUGCGUACCUUUUGUAUAAUGGGUCAGCGACUUAUAUUCUGUAGCAAGGUUAACCGAAUAGGGGAGCCGGAGGGAAACCGAGUCUUAAUUGGGCGUUAAGUUGCAGGGUAUAGACCCGAAACCCGGUGAUCUAGCCAUGGGCAGGUUGAAGGUUGGGUAACACUAACUGGAGGACCGAACCGACUAAUGUUGAAAAAUUAGCGGAUGACCUGUGGCUGGGGGUGAAAGGCCAAUCAAACCGGGAGAUAGCUGGUUCUCCCCGAAAGCUAUUUAGGUAGCGCCUCGUGAAUUCAUCUCCGGGGGUAGAGCACUGUUUCGGCUAGGGGGCCAUCCCGGCUUACCAACCCGAUGCAAACUGCGAAUACCGGAGAAUGUUAUCACGGGAGACACACGGCGGGUGCUAACGUCCGUCGUGAAGAGGGAAACAACCCAGACCGCCAGCUAAGGUCCCAAAGUCAUGGUUAAGUGGGAAACGAUGUGGGAAGGCCCAGACAGCCAGGAUGUUGGCUUAGAAGCAGCCAUCAUUUAAAGAAAGCGUAAUAGCUCACUGGUCGAGUCGGCCUGCGCGGAAGAUGUAACGGGGCUAAACCAUGCACCGAAGCUGCGGCAGCGAACGUAUCACCCAAGACAACUUUACGGAGUUGACGAUUGACGGAGCGAAGCGACGUCAAAGCGUUCAUUAAAGUCGAGUUGGCUUAGGGAUACGUUCGUUGGGUAGGGGAGCGUUCUGUAAGCCUGUGAAGGUGUGUCGUGAGGCAUGCUGGAGGUAUCAGAAGUGCGAAUGCUGACAUAAGUAACGAUAAAGCGGGUGAAAAGCCCGCUCGCCGGAAGACCAAGGGUUCCUGUCCAACGUUAAUCGGGGCAGGGUGAGUCGACCCCUAAGGCGAGGCCGAAAGGCGUAGUCGAUGGGAAACGGGUUAAUAUUCCCGUACUUGGUGUUACUGCGAAGGGGGGACGGAGAAGGCUAUGUUGGCCGGGCGACGGUUGUCCCGGUUUAAGCGUGUAGGUGUGUGUUCCAGGUAAAUCCGGUUCACUUUAACACUGAGGCGUGACGACGAGGCACUACGGUGCUGAAGCAACAAAUGCCCUGCUUCCAGGAAAAGCCUCUAAGCAUCAGGUAACAUCAAAUCGUACCCCAAACCGACACAGGUGGUCAGGUAGAGAAUACCAAGGCGCUUGAGAGAACUCGGGUGAAGGAACUAGGCAAAAUGGUGCCGUAACUUCGGGAGAAGGCACGCUGACACGUAGGUGAAGUGAUUUACUCAUGGAGCUGAAGUCAGUCGAAGAUACCAGCUGGCUGCAACUGUUUAUUAAAAACACAGCACUGUGCAAACACGAAAGUGGACGUAUACGGUGUGACGCCUGCCCGGUGCCGGAAGGUUAAUUGAUGGGGUCAGCGCAAGCGAAGCUCCUGAUCGAAGCCCCGGUAAACGGCGGCCGUAACUAUAACGGUCCUAAGGUAGCGAAAUUCCUUGUCGGGUAAGUUCCGACCUGCACGAAUGGCGUAAUGAUGGCCAGGCUGUCUCCACCCGAGACUCAGUGAAAUUGAACUCGCUGUGAAGAUGCAGUGUACCCGCGGCAAGACGGAAAGACCCCGUGAACCUUUACUAUAGCUUGACACUGAACAUUGAGCCUUGAUGUGUAGGAUAGGUGGGAGGCUUUGAAGUGUGGACGCCAGUCUGCAUGGAGCCGACCUUGAAAUACCACCCUUUAAUGUUUGAUGUUCUAACGUGGACCCGUAAUCCGGGUUGCGGACAGUGUCUGGUGGGUAGUUUGACUGGGGCGGUCUCCUCCUAAAGAGUAACGGAGGAGCACGAAGGUUGGCUAAUCCUGGUCGGACAUCAGGAGGUUAGUGCAAUGGCAUAAGCCAGCUUGACUGCGAGCGUGACGGCGCGAGCAGGUGCGAAAGCAGGUCAUAGUGAUCCGGUGGUUCUGAAUGGAAGGGCCAUCGCUCAACGGAUAAAAGGUACUCCGGGGAUAACAGGCUGAUACCGCCCAAGAGUUCAUAUCGACGGCGGUGUUUGGCACCUCGAUGUCGGCUCAUCACAUCCUGGGGCUGAAGUAGGUCCCAAGGGUAUGGCUGUUCGCCAUUUAAAGUGGUACGCGAGCUGGGUUUAGAACGUCGUGAGACAGUUCGGUCCCUAUCUGCCGUGGGCGCUGGAGAACUGAGGGGGGCUGCUCCUAGUACGAGAGGACCGGAGUGGACGCAUCACUGGUGUUCGGGUUGUCAUGCCAAUGGCACUGCCCGGUAGCUAAAUGCGGAAGAGAUAAGUGCUGAAAGCAUCUAAGCACGAAACUUGCCCCGAGAUGAGUUCUCCCUGAGACUUAGAGUCUCCUGAAGGAACGUUGAAGACGACGACGUUGAUAGGCCGGGUGUGUAAGCGCAGCGAUGCGUUGAGCUAACCGGUACUA